This 730-nucleotide ribosomal RNA is filed under the name Parachloritis newtoni. Its description in RNAcentral is "partial 16S ribosomal RNA". The stretch from base 307 to 546 matches the Rfam family "Archaeal large subunit ribosomal RNA", at positions 1786 to 2143 of the family's 2987-position model. Lineage: Eukaryota; Metazoa; Mollusca; Gastropoda; Stylommatophora; Camaenidae. The record is from RNAcentral.
AUGUGUAACUUACACGAAAUUACGUGAGCUAAUUGCUGUUAAUUAAUAUGUAACAUAAUAGUGAUAUGAGUGGCAAUUAGGGGUGAUAGGCUUAUCAAACGUAAGAUAUCUUGAUUCUUAUGAUAUGUAGUAGUACAUAGACAAUUUAAGAGUUAUAAGGCUUUUAAAAUUAAUAAAGUUUUAAUUUAAAUAUAAAGUUGGUUUAAACGCCCACAUUCUAGAAAUAUAAUAUUAAUAGUGUAUAAUUAUUUAAAUUAAUGAGAUUCAAUAAAUUCUAAAGGAUGAUAAUAAUGUUUUCAUGAGUACUAAGUAGUUAUUAAUAGUGAACUCGGCAUUUUGCUUUCAACUGUUUACCAAAAACAUAGCCAUGUGUAUAUACACAUGGUAAUUUCUGCUCAAUGAAUAAUUAAAUAGCCGCAGUACCUUGACUGUGCAAAGGUAGCGUAAUCAUUUGUCUCUUAAUUGGAGUCAUGUAUGAAAGAACAUAUGGGGGCAAUCUUUACCAUUGAUAAUGCAAGAAUUUACUUAAUGGGUGCAAAAUCCCAUCAAUAAUAAAUAGACGAGAAGACCCUAGAAAUUUAUAAAAACGUUUUGUUGGGGCAACAUGGUAGCAGAUAAUCUACUAUAUGUAUAUGACAUAAUAUAGAUAAAUAAAAUUACUCUAGGGAUAACAGCAUAAUCUAUAAAUGUUUGUGACCUCGAUGUUGGAUUAGGGAGUUGUUGUUUUAGA